RNAcentral lists this ribosomal RNA (472 nucleotides) under uncultured organism. Its description in RNAcentral is "partial 16S ribosomal RNA". It matches the Rfam family "Bacterial small subunit ribosomal RNA", at positions 334 to 797 of the family's 1533-position model. The record is from RNAcentral.
CACUCCUACGGGAGGCAGCAGUGGGGAAUUUUGGACAAUGGGCGAAAGCCUGAUCCAGCAAUGCCGCGUGUGUGAAGAAGGCCUUCGGGUUGUAAAGCACUUUUGUCCGGAAAGAAAUCCUUGGCUCUAAUACAGUCGGGGGAUGACGGUACCGGAAGAAUAAGCACCGGCUAACUACGUGCCAGCAGCCGCGGUAAUACGUAGGGUGCGAGCGUUAAUCGGAAUUACUGGGCGUAAAGCGUGCGCAGGCGGUUUGCUAAGACCGAUGUGAAAUCCCCGGGCUCAACCUGGGAACUGCAUUGGUGACUGGCAGGCUAGAGUAUGGCAGAGGGGGGUAGAAUUCCACGUGUAGCAGUGAAAUGCGUAGAGAUGUGGAGGAAUACCGAUGGCGAAGGCAGCCCCCUGGGCCAAUACUGACGCUCAUGCACGAAAGCGUGGGGAGCAAACAGGAUUAGAUACCCUGGUAGUCCCA